UGCCCAGCAACUCCUAUCCCUACCUCCUCGUGGUACAGGCCGGGGUACGAGUAACCUCAGGAAAGAUCGAGUAACCAACCCGAUGGG
This 87-nucleotide ribozyme is filed under the name Aedes aegypti (yellow fever mosquito). RNAcentral describes it as "drz-agam-1 ribozyme". It matches the Rfam family "drz-agam-1 ribozyme". Lineage: Eukaryota; Metazoa; Arthropoda; Insecta; Diptera; Culicidae. The record is from Rfam by way of RNAcentral.